GAGCGGAUGAUGAAAGAAAUUGGUAUUCAGUACUGACUAGUACAUGAUGUUUCCAAAAUUCGAGCUUUUUAAAACUGACGCUCA
Molecule: non-coding RNA, 84 nt
Organism: Morus notabilis
Lineage: Eukaryota; Viridiplantae; Streptophyta; Magnoliopsida; Rosales; Moraceae
Source: Rfam